GGCCUCGUUGCUCAGUUGGCUAGAGUUUUUGCUGGCCUUGCUUCGCCUUACUGGCGUGGGUUCGAAUCCCACCAUGGCUG
RNAcentral lists this transfer RNA (80 nucleotides) under Schistocephalus solidus. It matches the Rfam family "tRNA". From Rfam's summary of the family: Transfer RNA (tRNA) molecules are approximately 80 nucleotides in length. Their secondary structure includes four short double-helical elements and three loops (D, anti-codon, and T loops). Lineage: Eukaryota; Metazoa; Platyhelminthes; Cestoda; Diphyllobothriidea; Diphyllobothriidae. The record is from Rfam by way of RNAcentral.